RNAcentral lists this unclassified non-coding RNA (296 nucleotides) under Hevea brasiliensis (rubber tree). The record is from RNAcentral. Lineage: Eukaryota; Viridiplantae; Streptophyta; Magnoliopsida; Malpighiales; Euphorbiaceae.
GGCCUCUCUCCCUCUCUCUUCUUUUAUCUUCUUCAUUUCUUUUUAGCCUCUGCUACUACCUUCCUUUAGGUACUGUUGGAAGCUUCAAAACAAGACAAUCAGCAAUUUCUCUUUUCACUAUCUAAUCAGCUUUAGUUCAAAGUUCAAACUCAUUCCUCUAGUUCCUCUUCUUCCUUAAAUUGAAAGCCUAUAAAUCAUAAAUUGCCUUCAAUGACCAUGAUGACAGAAUUUGCAGGCUGGUUCCUUAACUCUAUCCUACAUCAUAUUUGUGCAAGCAUGUGUGUGUGUGUGUGUGU